Molecule: long non-coding RNA, 292 nt
Filed under: Olea europaea (common olive)
Lineage: Eukaryota; Viridiplantae; Streptophyta; Magnoliopsida; Lamiales; Oleaceae
Description: long non-coding RNA (OEUR_LNC010779)
Source: RNAcentral
AUUGGUAUUAGUUGCAAAUUGAAAAUUCCUUAAUUCGUAUUUGUUUAUGAAAUCCAUGACGUCUAGUGUCAUGUAAAUGUGCUGUUUAAUUGGUCUUGGAUUAGUUAUCUAUUACAAAAGAUAGUGGGGGCUUAUAUGGUGGAUCUGUUUGGCAGAGCUUCUACCUCUUGUCGAAGAGAUUCAUGGGGAAAAUUAUCUUGCCAGAUUCCUUUUAAAAGCAUUUUUUCGUUAGACGGAGCACUUCGAGAAAAUUAUUCAAACAUGAUCAUAAAUCAACUUUUUAAUUUUAGAA